AUUAUGGCUCAGGAUGAACGCUAGCGGCAGGCUUAACACAUGCAAGUCGAGGGGCAUCGGGAGUAGCAAUACUGCCGGCGACCGGCGCAAGGGUGCGUAACGCGUGAGCAACAUGCCCGUAUCAGGGGGAUAAUCCAUGGAAACGUGGUCUAAUACCCCAUAGUAAUUAUGUAAGGCAUCUUAUAUAAUUUAAAGCUUUGGUGGAUACGGAUUGGCUCGCGUGACAUUAGCUGGAUGGUAAGGUAACGGCUUACCAUGGCUACGAUGUCUAGGGGUUCUGAGAGGAAGGUCCCCCACACUGGAACUGAGACACGGUCCAGACUCCUACGGGAGGCAGCAGUGAGGAAUAUUGGACAAUGGAUGGAAAUCUGAUCCAGCCAUGCCGCGUGCAAGGAAGACGGCCCUAUGGGUUGUAAACUGCUUUUGUAUGGGAGCAAUAAGGGCUACGUGUAGUCCGAUGAGAGUACCAUACGAAUAAGCACCGGCUAACUCCGUGCCAGCCGCUGC
RNAcentral lists this ribosomal RNA (507 nucleotides) under uncultured bacterium. RNAcentral's name for it is "bacterial SSU rRNA". It matches the Rfam family "Bacterial small subunit ribosomal RNA", at positions 16 to 518 of the family's 1533-position model. The record is from RNAcentral.